GCGGACGUGGUGGAACUGGUAGACACAAGGGACUUAAAAUCCCUCGGAGCAAUCCGUACGGGUUCGAUCCCCGUCGUCCGCACCA
This 85-nucleotide transfer RNA is filed under the name Mesorhizobium sp. RNAcentral describes it as "tRNA-Leu". It matches the Rfam family "tRNA". From Rfam's summary of the family: Transfer RNA (tRNA) molecules are approximately 80 nucleotides in length. Their secondary structure includes four short double-helical elements and three loops (D, anti-codon, and T loops). Further hydrogen bonds mediate the characteristic L-shaped molecular structure. tRNAs have two regions of fundamental functional importance: the anti-codon, which is responsible for specific mRNA codon recognition, and the 3' end, to which the tRNAs corresponding amino acid is attached (by aminoacyl-tRNA synthetases). tRNAs cope with the degeneracy of the genetic code in two manners: having more than one tRNA (with a specific anti-codon) for a particular amino acid; and 'wobble' base-pairing, i.e. permitting non-standard base-pairing at the 3rd anti-codon position. RNAcentral also lists the same sequence under 1 other name. The record is from RNAcentral. Lineage: Bacteria; Pseudomonadati; Pseudomonadota; Alphaproteobacteria; Hyphomicrobiales; Phyllobacteriaceae.